Molecule: ribosomal RNA, 605 nt
Filed under: Pseudomonas meridiana
Lineage: Bacteria; Pseudomonadati; Pseudomonadota; Gammaproteobacteria; Pseudomonadales; Pseudomonadaceae
Description: bacterial SSU rRNA
Rfam family: Bacterial small subunit ribosomal RNA
Source: RNAcentral
AGCUUGCUUCUCUUGAAGCGGCGGACGGGUGAGUAAUGCCUAGGAAUCUGCCUGGUAGUGGGGGAUAACGUUCGGAAACGGACGCUAAUACCGCAUACGUCCUACGGGAGAAAGCAGGGGACCUUCGGGCCUUGCGCUAUCAGAUGAGCCUAGGUCGGAUUAGCUAGUUGGUGAGGUAAUGGCUCACCAAGGCUACGAUCCGUAACUGGUCUGAGAGGAUGAUCAGUCACACUGGAACUGAGACACGGUCCAGACUCCUACGGGAGGCAGCAGUGGGGAAUAUUGGACAAUGGGCGAAAGCCUGAUCCAGCCAUGCCGCGUGUGUGAAGAAGGUCUUCGGAUUGUAAAGCACUUUAAGUUGGGAGGAAGGGCAGUUACCUAAUACGUGAUUGUUUUGACGUUACCGACAGAAUAAGCACCGGCUAACUCUGUGCCAGCAGCCGCGGUAAUACAGAGGGUGCAAGCGUUAAUCGGAAUUACUGGGCGUAAAGCGCGCGUAGGUGGUUAGUUAAGUUGGAUGUGAAAUCCCCGGGCUCAACCUGGGAACUGCAUUCAAAACUGACUGACUAGAGUAUGGUAGAGGGUGGUGGAAUUUCCUGUGUAGC